Molecule: long non-coding RNA, 1281 nt
Organism: Hordeum vulgare subsp. vulgare (domesticated barley)
Lineage: Eukaryota; Viridiplantae; Streptophyta; Magnoliopsida; Poales; Poaceae
Exons: 3
Source: RefSeq, a predicted model, not a curated record
UAUCUCUCUCUUGGAUAUAGUCACACCUAUUCCUCCAUUUUGCUGUUUGAUUUUCCUGUGUAAUAAAACACAUGACAUGUUUUUGUACUCCUCUUACCCACUAAGUAAAGCUAUGUUUGUAAAUGGAAGUCUCAAAAGUUUUUGUUUCUACCUUUUGGUAUGAUAGAUUAGUACAUGGUGUUGGUCAUGUGAACAGAUGAUGUCCAUUCUCCUUCUGAUAGAUCAGUAAAUGGAAUUAUUAUGUACAGAUGAGCCUUCCAAGCUGAAUAUUUGAGUGCUCUUCUUGUUAAAAAAAAUAGUUCACAAGAGAGGGUUGACACCUGGAGCUGUUUGGCAUCAAAUUUAGAAGAUACACAUCCUAAGAUUGAAACAAUGCUACCUAAACCAAAGGGUUGUACGCCCACCAUUAUUAAUACACAUAUCUCUCCUCCUCAUGCAUCCUCUCUCCUCGUCACAUCUGGUCCGACAAGAAUGCGACGACGGCGACGGCGACAUCUCCUGACGAUGGCAGUGGGGUGGGCGAGGUUGCAAGGCGAUGACCCGAGGCAGCGAUGCAGGAGAAGCUCGGGGGCCUCAUGGGUUGGGGAGAUGGCUUGGGGUCCUCAUGGAUUGGUGAGAUGGAGCCCCCCCGAGUUUCUUUGAUCGAUCUGUGAUCUGGUCAAGGCCACGGCAGCAUGGGCGAGGGGCAGAGGCGAGCGACCCUCUGCAGCCGCGCACGUCGACAGUUACUUGUGGAGGGUAUAAGAAGAAUUUUGAGGAAGAGUUUGAUCAAGAAGACCAAGGCAAAGAGAAAAUGAGGUCGAAUCCUAACACUGGAAGGUUCUUGCCUUCUUGGCACCAAAUCAUCGAAGGGGAUGUGUUGUUGUACAUGAGGUGUUAAUAAAGUUUCACAUUCUUUGUUCUGUUGGAUUUAGUGUGUUGGGUUUCCAUGUAUGAUGUAUUUAUUUUUCUUUGAUUGCUCUGGUGUUUUUGGUCCAAAUUGAUCACGCAGGGCCUAGGAUUUUGUCAAGUUUUUUGUCAGGUUAUUCUAUGUAUAGUACUGUACUUCUAUGUGUUGUUUCCUUCAAGCUGUCAUUGAAACAGAAGAUGAAGGGUGUCUUCGUGAUUAGUAGACCAGUGUGUGAUGCCGCGUGCUGUAGUUAUAUUGCUACACACAUAUGGGAAAGAAAUGCAAGUAUUGUGGUUCUGAUGAUGUCUGAGUGUAUCUUGUGUAUGUGCAGAUAAGAAGCCCUGUUCAAAAGUGCUUUAUAGAUGUCCUGUAGGCUUUCUAGACAUACAUGU